Molecule: ribosomal RNA, 497 nt
Filed under: uncultured bacterium
Lineage: Bacteria
Description: partial 16S ribosomal RNA
Rfam family: Bacterial small subunit ribosomal RNA
Source: RNAcentral
GAUGAACGCUGGCGGCGUGCCUAAUACAUGCAAGUCGAGCGAACAGACGACGAGCUUGCUCCUCUGACGUUAGCGGCGGACGGGUGAGUAACACGUGGAUAACCUACCUAUAAGACUGGGAUAACUUCGGGAAACCGGAGCUAAUACCGGAUAAUAUAUUGAACCGCAUGGUUCAAUAGUGAAAGACGGUUUUGCUGUCACUUAUAGAUGGAUCCGCGCCGCAUUAGCUAGUUGGUAAGGUAACGGCUUACCAAGGCAACGAUGCGUAGCCGACCUGAGAGGGUGAUCGGCCACACUGGAACUGAGACACGGUCCAGACUCCUACGGGAGGCAGCAGUAGGGAAUCUUCCGCAAUGGGCGAAAGCCUGACGGAGCAACGCCGCGUGAGUGAUGAAGGUCUUCGGAUCGUAAAACUCUGUUAUUAGGGAAGAACAAAUGUGUAAGUAACUAUGCAUGUCUUGACGGUACCUAAUCAGAAAGCCACGGCUAACUACGUG